AAAAUAAUUUAUUUUGCAUGUCAUUUUGCAUUUUUCGAACCAUAAACGAUUAUGGCCUGUGAUUUUUCAAAAGGACAAUAGCUACAAUUUCUUUUCCUCCUGCAAGUAUUGUAUUUUCAUUCCACCGAAAGCAUUAUAUCGAAAAUGAUUGUUCACAUGUUUACAUCAACUGGACUCUGAAAAUUGUAGGGAGGGAACUCUCCAAAUCAUAGCUAAACAUAAAGAAACCAACAAAAAACCUCUUGUACAUAAUAGAUCAAAAGAGAACCUUAAGCUAAAGCAAAACAUAAAUGACCAAAAUCUUCAUACUAAUAUGCUAUCUUGCGCUAGGGAAUACAAACACUUGACAAAAGUCCAAUAUA
RNAcentral lists this long non-coding RNA (362 nucleotides) under Phaseolus vulgaris (common bean). RNAcentral's name for it is "long non-coding RNA (PVUL_LNC005266)". Lineage: Eukaryota; Viridiplantae; Streptophyta; Magnoliopsida; Fabales; Fabaceae. The record is from RNAcentral.